UAAACCUACGGGGGGCAGCAGUGGGGAAUAUUGCACAAUGGGGGAAACCCUGAUGCAGCAACGCCGCGUGAGUGAAGAAGGUUUUCGGAUUGUAAAGCUCUGUUAGCAGGGAAGAGGAAGGACGGUACCUGACUAAGAAGCUCCGGCUAAAUACGUGCCAGCAGCCGCGGUAAUACGUAUGGAGCAAGCGUUAUCCGGAUUUACUGGGUGUAAAGGGAGCGCAGACGGCAAGGCAAGUCUGAUGUGAAAGUCCGAGGCUCAACCUCGGGACUGCAUUGGAAACUGUCUGGCUAGAGUGCAGGAGA
RNAcentral lists this ribosomal RNA (305 nucleotides) under uncultured bacterium. RNAcentral's name for it is "bacterial SSU rRNA". It matches the Rfam family "Bacterial small subunit ribosomal RNA", at positions 334 to 655 of the family's 1533-position model. The record is from RNAcentral.